RNAcentral lists this ribosomal RNA (163 nucleotides) under Blautia sp. AM42-2. Its description in RNAcentral is "partial 16S ribosomal RNA". It matches the Rfam family "Bacterial small subunit ribosomal RNA", at positions 1 to 145 of the family's 1533-position model. The record is from RNAcentral. Lineage: Bacteria; Bacillati; Bacillota; Clostridia; Lachnospirales; Lachnospiraceae.
UUUUAUCAGAGAGUUUGAUCCUGGCUCAGGAUGAACGCUGGCGGCGUGCUUAACACAUGCAAGUCGAGCGAAGCGGCUGAAUUGAUUCUUCGGAUGAUUUUCAGUUGACUGAGCGGCGGACGGGUGAGUAACGCGUGGGUGACCUGCCCCAUACCGGGGGAUA